Molecule: ribosomal RNA, 319 nt
Filed under: Lepthoplosternum tordilho
Lineage: Eukaryota; Metazoa; Chordata; Actinopteri; Siluriformes; Callichthyidae
Description: partial 12S ribosomal RNA
Source: RNAcentral
CAUCCGCCCGGGUAUUACGAGCACAGCUUAAACCCAAGGACUUGGCGGUGCUUCAGAUCCGCCUAGAGGAGCCUGUUCUAGAACCGAUACCCCCCGUUAACCUCUCCACCCCUUGUCAAUACCGUCUAUAUACCGCCGUCGUCAGCUCACCCUGUAAGGGAACAAAAGAAAGCAAGAAGGAUGCUCUCCAAAACGUCAGGUCGAGGUGUAGUGUAUGGGGUGGCAAGAAAUGGGCUACAUUUUCUAGACAUAGAAUACACGAACAGCAUUAAUGAAACAUUAAGCUUAAAGGAGGAUUUAGUAGUAAAAGAAAACAGAG